CGGCAACAGUCAUCGUUGCCUCCUCCUUUAAUCCCCUCUCCUUGACUCCUCCCUUGCCUUAUCUCCCUCUGACUUGCCAUCUUCCAAGCCUCAGGCUCAAGUGCUUCGUCUCCUACUCCACUCGCAUGCACGCACACCAUUACAGAGAAGAAAAAUCUACAGGAGAGAAAGAGCCCCUCCACUAACUCCCUUAAAUCUCCAUCAUUUUCAGUUUUGAAGAUAUCUAGACAUGCUCCACGAUCUCCUCUUCCAACCCGCAGAAACUCCUGUCCUCUCGCUUCUCUGUUCUUCCAAAAUACAUCCACGAAGUGCUGCUGCUCCAUGAACGCCGGUGCUUGUUCCUGGCGACUUCAAGCAUCUCCAUCCAUUCCCAUGUACCAGGUACUUCCCCUCCUCACCAUGGAUCCAUUCAGAGAAGAAAGACAGCGAUCCGUUGACCACACACGAAGAAUUCCGCAUGUUCGUCUACACUGUUCGUCAAGUUCAUCGCACCGCUGCGUCAAACUCGGACGAGUAGGGAGUGACGACAGUGUUGGACAUGGACAGAAACAUGUUACCGAAGAAGGACUCAACAACGAAGAGUUUCAUGAAGACAAAGGUGAUAACUACGACAACUAUGGCGAUCUGUAGGAGUGAGGUCACGUUGACUACAUCGACUGCCUGUGGCUGAGAUGGAGUCGCUAUGCAUUGUACUUUCCGCUGCUUUUAUGUUGUAAUAAAUGUCAUGAGACAUUUCUCUAUGUAUGCCUUGUGUCAAGAUAUAUUUAAAAUUGUAAUACUUUUACGCAUUAUGCAAUGAUAUCAUUUUGAUGUGUUGUCAAC
RNAcentral lists this ribosomal RNA (822 nucleotides) under Triticum aestivum (bread wheat). Its description in RNAcentral is "partial small subunit ribosomal RNA". The record is from RNAcentral. Lineage: Eukaryota; Viridiplantae; Streptophyta; Magnoliopsida; Poales; Poaceae.